This 73-nucleotide transfer RNA is filed under the name Ipomoea nil (Japanese morning glory). It matches the Rfam family "tRNA". From Rfam's summary of the family: Transfer RNA (tRNA) molecules are approximately 80 nucleotides in length. Their secondary structure includes four short double-helical elements and three loops (D, anti-codon, and T loops). Further hydrogen bonds mediate the characteristic L-shaped molecular structure. tRNAs have two regions of fundamental functional importance: the anti-codon, which is responsible for specific mRNA codon recognition, and the 3' end, to which the tRNAs corresponding amino acid is attached (by aminoacyl-tRNA synthetases). tRNAs cope with the degeneracy of the genetic code in two manners: having more than one tRNA (with a specific anti-codon) for a particular amino acid; and 'wobble' base-pairing, i.e. permitting non-standard base-pairing at the 3rd anti-codon position. The record is from Rfam by way of RNAcentral. Lineage: Eukaryota; Viridiplantae; Streptophyta; Magnoliopsida; Solanales; Convolvulaceae.
GAAUUGAUGGCCCAAUGGAUAAGGCGCUGGUUUACGAAACCAGAGAUACUGGGUUCGAUUUCUAGUGAAGUUU